UUUCUCUCUGUCUCUCUCCACUGGAUUGCCCACUGAUUUCUAACACGUUAUCAGCACGUGCUCUCCACCGAGCGGAGACCAGAAGGCCGUGACGCUGCAUGAACGAGAGGUUCCAGAACAUAUCUGCCCUCGUAUGCGUGCAGCGCGAGAACAGGAGAAAACGAUGGCGUCGGCCAUCAGAGCCAAAUGAAAAAAAAGAAGAAAGGAUCAAAAGCAUGAAAAUCGUAAGUAUUUCAGUAUGUUAUUACCUACGUCUACAUGCAAUGCGCGUGGACAAUGUUUUUGUGUACGCGUGUGGGACUGGAACCCCACGGCUGUGCACUGCGCGUGGCACCCCUGCCCGCACCGCCGCUGGGCUGUGCGUCGGAGCCACCAGCCCAGGCUGCCGCCGAGUCGCGUGCCCGCCCAAGGCUAGGCAACUGCACAGGAACCGGGGCCGACAACCGUCGGGGCCUCGCCCGCGAGCCGCAGGGGCUGCACCGGCGCUCUGCCGGGUGGCCGCGCCCGCGCCGGGGGGCGCCUCACCUGCGCCGCCAUGGCCCACCCGGGGCCUGCCCCCGCGACGCUGCCGGGGCCGAGGGCUGUGCCAGAGCCGUGAAGCUGCGCGCCGGAGAGCGCCCGCCCGUCGCGCGCGCCUGGCCGGGGCCGUGCCACCGGGCCGCGAUGGUGCCGCCGGGGUCCGAGCGCCCGCGCCGCGCCUCGCCUGGCCUUGCGCCCGCGCGACCGCCGGAACGCGCGCCGACGCCGGGGGCCGUGCCCGCGCCGCCACCGGGGCCCUGGCUGGGGUUGGGGCUGUGCACCGGCUCGCACUGCCGCGGCCGUCCUCCCCAUGGCUGGAUCCCGCGCCCGCCUCGCAGCGGCUUGCUGUGCGCCGCCGGGCCUAGCCUCUUGCCGCGCCAAAGCCGCCCGCCUGGACGGGGCCGCACUGCCGGAGGACUGCGCCCGCGCGCCGACGCAGGGGAUCACGCGCCCAAGCCGUCGGGGCUGGGGGCCGCCAGGGUCGAGGGACGCCACACGCCCAUUCGUCGCCGGGGCCGAGGCCGCCGCGCCCCUGCUCGCCCACGCCGGGGGUCGGGCCGCGCCCGUGUUGUGCGCCGGGGAGGGGCUGUCCCGACGCACCCGCACCCGCCCAUGCCAGAGGAGCCCGGAUCGGAGCCGCCAAGACCGACUGAGUCACCAUGGCGGCGGCUGCAAGGUGGAAGAUGGACUUGCAAACCCUAACCGUCCUCGCGUCUCACUGCGUAGGCCGCGUCUGGCCACCUGGGUCGGCCGGCUGGGCCGCGUGUGGCCACCUGGGCCGCGCCUGGCCACCUGGGCUGGCUGGGCUAAAUUUGCUCUUUCAAUUUUCUAUAAUUUCAGACAUAUGUCUUCAUAUUCAUAUUUAUACAUAAUUACUAUAUUAAUCAG
Molecule: unclassified non-coding RNA, 1407 nt
Filed under: Zea mays
Lineage: Eukaryota; Viridiplantae; Streptophyta; Magnoliopsida; Poales; Poaceae
Description: misc RNA Zm00001eb391590
Source: RNAcentral